RNAcentral lists this ribosomal RNA (253 nucleotides) under uncultured bacterium. Its description in RNAcentral is "partial 16S ribosomal RNA". It matches the Rfam family "Bacterial small subunit ribosomal RNA", at positions 524 to 776 of the family's 1533-position model. The record is from RNAcentral.
UACGGAGGGGGCUUGCGUUGUUCGGAAUUACUGGACGUAAAGAGCGCGUAGGCGGGCUGUUAAGUCGGGGUUGAAAUCCCGGGGCUCAACCCCGGAACUGCCUUCGAUACUGGCAGCCUAGAGGAAGGCAGAGGCUAGUGGAAUGGCGAGUGUAGAGGUGAAAUUCGUAGAUAUUCGCCGGAACACCAGUGGCGAAGGCGACUGGCUGGGCCUUUUCUGACGCCUAGCCGCGACACCGUGGGGAGCACACAGG